UUUAUCAUCUGAAAGCUUGAUGGAGUCACAUACAAGAUCGGUAGAUCCAUUGCUCAAUUCGUACAGUGACUACGAAGACAAGCCUGACUAGUUUUACCAAAAUUGCUGGUCUUGCUUGGAGUUCCCGAGAGCCAUGGAUUUUUGCAUCAUUAUCCUAUGAUGGGAGGGCAGUAUGAAGAGAAUGCCUGCAAUCGUGGUGGGUAUUGCAACUUUAUGCAUCUGAAAAGGAUUGGCAGAGAGUUGAGACGCCAAUUGUUUGGGAGGUAUCGCUCAAGGCAUAGCCGCAGUCGGAGCAGAAGUUGAAGUCCUUAUAGGCAUCGCAGCUAUGAUGAGCGCCCUCAUGGAGGUUGUGGGCACAGUAGAAGGAUACUGUAGGU
Non-coding RNA from Camellia sinensis, 377 nucleotides. NCBI's taxonomy places the organism in Eukaryota, Viridiplantae, Streptophyta, Magnoliopsida, Ericales, Theaceae. The record is from RefSeq and is a predicted model, not a curated record.